ACAACUGAGCCCAGCCUCUAGACGUAUAUUACAGCCGGUCUUUUUUUAAUCCAUAUCUGGGGAACCAAAUUAGGUAUUGUUUUUCAAAACUUGUCAUAUUAUGACAUCGAGCGCCAAUAGGUGAACAAGCACAACAAUGAGGCACAUGUUUGUUUCAUAAAGCGUGUAUUCAUUUUCUGGCAUACAUGUGUGUAUAUUCCUCCCUCUGGAGUCCAUACAUUUCUUUUGUUACCAGUUAGAAGAAUUUCCUUAUACAUCAAUUCCCUUAAUGAUCAGUUUGAACAACAUAAGUUAUUCCACUUUGUUUUCAAAGCUGACGUUAUAAAACAGUUCCUUAAGGAGCGGCUUGCACUUCUACAAAGUGUCAAACUGACUCGUUCAGCUUACUGAAGGUGACCAAGAUGGACAAAGUAAUGGCGAUUGGUUUUCUUUUCCUCUUUUGCGUCGUUUUCCUUAUGAUAGAAGAAAGUUCUGGGGCUGUUCAUUGCCCUGGUCCAAUGCCUGUCUGUAACCGACCAAAAGGGUCUAAGAGAGGAAUCUGCCGCGCUGCUCGACGAUUCAACUGUGACCAACUCCUGCAAGACGAGAACGAGAACCCAAGAGUUCAGCAAACCGCUCCACAAUACUAACUUCUAAGCAUCAUGUAACCUCAAGGAGCCUCAAAUAAAAUGUAAAUUCGUGUUACCUCCUGCGCUUUUAUGACUUUGACUGGAAAAUAAGCAAUAUUUGUCUCUGGGCACUCCUUCUCAAAACUGCACGUUAUUGGUCGAUUUGUAAAAUUGGCACCAGACUAUGGUUGCGAUUCGUCUCUCUCUGAAAAGUUUUAGAGGAAGUUAAUGUUCAAAAAAAAAUAGGUGACUGAAAGACAAAAUGUUAAAUGCUUCUAAUUGUUUAUCGCUUUACGUGUCACUGGUGUUAUACAGAAGUGGUGAAAAUGAUAUUCCAUAAGCGCAAUUUAAUCAUUUCGUUUUUAUAGAAAAAUUCGCUGCAAACUACCCCAUAUUAAAAUUGUUCUUUUCUUUCCGA
Molecule: long non-coding RNA, 1026 nt
Organism: Orbicella faveolata
Lineage: Eukaryota; Metazoa; Cnidaria; Anthozoa; Scleractinia; Merulinidae
Source: RefSeq, a predicted model, not a curated record